CACCAUGCUAGGCUCAGACGUGGGGCCUUGGGUGGGAUGUAGGCAGUGGCUCUUUGCACGGGGUGUGGCUAUAACUGGGACCUCCAGGUGGUGGCUCAUGGUUGCACUGGGGAAGUAAACUAAUCUAGGCAUAAAAGUUGAUGAAGCUGUAGCACCAGGAGUCCAAGCUGUGAAGGAAGUUGAGUCCUUCCUCCGCCAGCAGCAGACUGUGAGCUGCAGAGUCAAAUAUGAUGGAAAGUUUCCUUUUGAGAGGAGAAAAAAAU
RNAcentral lists this long non-coding RNA (263 nucleotides) under Homo sapiens (human). RNAcentral's name for it is "non-protein coding lnc-PNRC2-1:1". The record is from RNAcentral. Lineage: Eukaryota; Metazoa; Chordata; Mammalia; Primates; Hominidae.